This 1059-nucleotide long non-coding RNA is filed under the name Homo sapiens (human). Its description in RNAcentral is "non-protein coding lnc-CENPJ-1:1". Lineage: Eukaryota; Metazoa; Chordata; Mammalia; Primates; Hominidae. The record is from RNAcentral.
AGACAAAAGUCAACUACUGCUGAGGCAUGGGCUUAAUAAAUGUUGACUAAAAUAUCCAACUCAACAACCAAUCCUGUAUAAUUUUCAAACUGUGUCAGUAACUUGCCAGGUCCAACCUGCAGACCCUGGCCACAUGACGGGUGAAGAAAUGCACUCAGACACAGAUCCCCUACAAAAGACCAUGUUUCUUCUCAGCUUGCUCAGUCCAGCUGAGCCAGCUUUCCACUGGACUCCUGAAUGUGAGAAGGACACAGGCUCCCAGGACUAUCCAGAAGCAUGCCUCAUCACCAUAAAGCUCUGAAACACCGGCUGGGUGCAGAGGCUCACACCCGUAAUCCCAACACAUUCAGAGGCUGAGGUGAGAGGAUCACUUGAGGCCAGGAACUCAAGACCAGCCUAGGCAGCAUAGCAAGACCCCAUCUCUACAAAAAGUAUACCCCAAAAUUAGCUGGGUGUGGUGGCACAUGCCUGUAGUCUCAAUUAAUUGGGAGGCUGAGGCGGGACUAUCCCUUGAGCCCAGGAGUUUGAGGCUGCAGUGAGGUAUGAUCGCACCACCACACUCCAGCCUGGGAGACAGAUUGAGACCAUCUCUAAAACAACAACAACAGGCCAGGUGCAGUGGUUCAUGCCUGUAAUCCCAGCAAUUUGGGAGGCUGAGGCGGGUGGAUCACCUGAGGUCAGGAGUUCAAGAACAGCCUGGGCAACCUGGUAAAAUCCCAUCUCUACUAAAAAUACAAAAAAAUUAGCAGGGCAUGGUGGCAGGCGCCUGUAAUCCCAGCUACUCGGGAGGCUGAGGGAGGAGAAUUGCUUGCACCCAGGAGGCGGAGAUUGCAGUGAGGUGAGAUCAUGUCAUUGCACUCCAGUCUGGGCAACAAGAGCAAAAGUUUGUCUCAAAAUAUAAAAAAUAUAAAAAAUACAACAAAAAAAUGAGACACAGAAAACAAAUAUUUUGUUUCAUUUUAUUAUUGCUUGUUAGUUGAUUAAAGUAAUUCUGCUUCCACUUACUUUAUUUUUGAAGACACUAAUUGCUACACUGAAUAAAACCUUAAUGAAGUUUCA